This 253-nucleotide ribosomal RNA is filed under the name uncultured prokaryote. RNAcentral describes it as "partial 16S ribosomal RNA". It matches the Rfam family "Bacterial small subunit ribosomal RNA", at positions 524 to 776 of the family's 1533-position model. The record is from RNAcentral.
UACGUAGGGGGCAAGCGUUGUCCGGAAUUACUGGGCGUAAAGGGUGCGUAGGCGGUUGCCUAAGUCAGAUGUGAAAUCCCCGGGCUUAACCCGGGUGGUGCAUUUGAAACUGGGUGGCUAGAGUGCAGGAGAGGGAAGCGGAAUUCCUAGUGUAGCGGUGAAAUGCGUAGAUAUUAGGAGGAACACCAGUGGCGAAGGCGGCUUUCUGGACUGUAACUGACGCUGAGGCGCGAAAGCGUGGGGAGCAAACAGG